Molecule: non-coding RNA, 69 nt
Organism: Rattus norvegicus (Norway rat)
Lineage: Eukaryota; Metazoa; Chordata; Mammalia; Rodentia; Muridae
Source: Rfam
GGGGAUUUAGCUCAGUGGCAGAGCGCUUGCCUAGGAAGCGCAAGGCCCUGGGUUCGAUCCCCAGCUCCG